GCCAUUGCAGGAUCAGUCCUCUUGGAUGAUGGACCGACAUUGCCAUUCCUCUGAGAAGUAGGCAUGUAAAUCCUCUGAGCAGUUGAAGAUAUGCUUUCAGUCCUCUGAGAUGUUAGGGGUAGAUUUUCAUUCCACUUGGACGUUUGAGGUGUAUAAAUGCUUUCAGAUGUCUGUGGUAUGGUUAGUGACAUUUCUUGGCUUAAUGAAUUCCCAUCUGUUGCAGGAUGUAUAGCGAGUGAUCUCUCUCGGUCCGAUAAAUCCUGCUCAACUGUUGGAGAUAGAACCAGAGACACCUCCUGGCCUGGUAAAUCCUCAUCAACUAUUUGUGGCAUAGAUGAUGCUCCCGAGUUUGGUAAAUCCCCUGGCAGUAGUUCUCCAUGCUUUGGGGAAUCUCUCUCUG
This 400-nucleotide unclassified non-coding RNA is filed under the name Hevea brasiliensis (rubber tree). The record is from RNAcentral. Lineage: Eukaryota; Viridiplantae; Streptophyta; Magnoliopsida; Malpighiales; Euphorbiaceae.